CGUCCGUCGUGAAGAGGGAAACAACCCAGACCGCCAGCUAAGGUCCCAAAGUCAUGGUUAAGUGGGAAACGAUGUGGGAAGGCCCAGACAGCCAGGAUGUUGGCUUAGAAGCAGCCAUCAUUUAAAGAAAGCGUAAUAGCUCACUGGUCGAGUCGGCCUGCGCGGAAGAUGUAACGGGGCUAAACCAUGCACCGAAGCUGCGGCAGCGACACUAUGUGUUGUUGGGUAGGGGAGCGUUCUGUAAGCCUGUGAAGGUGGCCUGUGAGGGUUGCUGGAGGUAUCAGAAGUGCGAAUGCUGACAUAAGUAACGAUAAAGCGGGUGAAAAGCCCGCUCGCCGGAAGACCAAGGGUUCCUGUCCAACGUUAAUCGGGGCAGGGUGAGUCGACCCCUAAGGCGAGGCCGAAAGGCGUAGUCGAUGGGAAACAGGUUAAUAUUCCUGUACUUGGUGUUACUGCGAAGGGGGGACGGAGAAGGCUAUGUUGGCCGGGCGACGGUUGUCCCGGUUUAAGCGUGUAGGCUGGUUUUCCAGGCAAAUCCGGA
RNAcentral lists this ribosomal RNA (541 nucleotides) under Escherichia coli. Its description in RNAcentral is "partial 23S ribosomal RNA". It matches the Rfam family "Bacterial large subunit ribosomal RNA", at positions 1002 to 1546 of the family's 2925-position model. Lineage: Bacteria; Pseudomonadati; Pseudomonadota; Gammaproteobacteria; Enterobacterales; Enterobacteriaceae. The record is from RNAcentral.